UGCUAAGAAAAGAACUUUAUUGUUAGCUAUUCUUGCAUCUUUUGUUUUCUAUGUGUUCAAACCAGAUUGAUCCAAACAAUCUUUUAUGUUAAGAAUCACAAGCACGUAGAUUUUAUCUCACACCCUGACAUUUCAUCAAACUAUCAAAUUAUCUUAUUCUGUCUUUAUCUGUAGUUCUCAGAGUGCUACAGAAGCCAAGAAAUGAAGUUUUUAUCAUUUUUCGGUUUUUGAAUGUACCCACAUUCAGAGAGCUCAUUCUUGGAUGGGUCUGAUGCUUGCAGUGGAGGUGGGAUGAGGCAGGAGGCCAAACCAUUCUUUUAAAGAAAUGUCCUGACCUAAAAACUACAUUAGGAACCACACACACACACACACACACACACACACACAGAGAAUCAACUGAAGUGAAAUCCAAAUUCUACUCCCUCCCCAUCCCCUUCCUCUUUACCAAUCCCCUUUGCAUCCCGGAGGAGGUCUCUCUGCUUCUUGUGUCUCUAUUUCACCCCUUAACAGAGAUGCUCAGGUACCGCAUGAGGAGCUGAGGAUUCACAAACAAAAUUCAAUCUAAAUAACUUUUCAGAUAUGUCUUCCUGAAACAUUUACUAGUCCUCUCCCUGUCUGACAAGUGAUCACAACAAUGAGUCAUCCUUUGGGCAUUAAUCCAUAGCAGCCUGAAAUAACAGCAAUACCAGAGCUAUGACUUUACAUUUUCCAUUUUUAUUAAAACUCUCACUUCACUUAAACCUGAUUAUCUUAAGGCUAAUUUUAUUCCAUGUUUGGCCUUCAAAUUUGUGCUAAUUUGCAAGCCUUUUCCAAAUCACCUCUUACAUGAAUACAAGAAAAAUUCUCAUCCAUGAAAUUACUUGACUCAGGAAAACGGAUCUCUUUACCCACAGAGGACUUUUCAGAAGGUACUUUCUGAAAAGGAGGCAGAAGAAAUUGUUUUUACAAAAUGAGUUAGGGCUAGAAACUAAAUCUAUGUACCUUAAACUAUAAUUCGAUCUAUAUAGUUAUGCCAUGUAUGAUUUCCCAGAGAUCUUGUCCGUAUCAGAUCAAGAGAAUAAAACCUAAUGAACAAAAUCUUCUUGGGGUUCCAUAUCCCUAAAAAAACAUAAUUCCAUAGUGUCAUCAUUAUCCUCUUCUUUACUAUAAGACACACACCUAGAACACUAAUCCAUUGUCAGUCCCUUUUUCUAUUUAUUCAUUUCAAAUAAACAUGAUGCAAUGUCUACACAUUCAGAUCUCAUACAUGUUGCUUUUUGUGGCAUGGCCUACUGAUCAUUUCCCCUGUAUUGUUUUCUAAGAUUAGCUUUCCCCACACUUCUUUUGGGUGCGUAUUGUAUGCUUCUUGAAAGACAAAUACACAGCGUUUUGCAAAGUGCUGAAAACGCACUUGGUAAAGACUUGGUGAUUCUGUGCCUUAAUUGUGACUUACACAUUUUUCUAUCUCCUCCCAUUCAAUGGUUAGUACUUGUACCUUUUGUGGACCCUCUGCCACUUCAAGUCCACCUCUUAUACAUACAUAUUCCUUUAUAUGCAACUCAUGAGAGCUUAAGCCAAGCUCCACUGAGUUCUGAAACUUCUACAGAUGUCUGCUGCUAUAACUGUUGAGCAUAAAAACACUUGGAGAGGGGACACUCAUUUUUUAAAAACUUUUUUUUUGGUGGAGGGAGUAUGAGGACAACAUCUUAUAUUAAUAAGCAGAAACUUCAUUAUUUGAGAAUGCUGCUGUUGAGCAGAAGAAAUGAUUAAGACAAAGUUUGAAUGGAAUAAGACUACACAUUCAGUGCCAAAAUUACAAAUGACCACCUCUUCCCUUCUCUCAUGACUUCUAUUUUGUACUCAACCAGUACAGAGUAUUUUGUAGUUUUGUAUUAAGACACAACUCCUACUUCCUCCAGGAAACUACUUUGGGGCCCUGUUGAUCUCCUUCCUUUAGCUUCCUAACAAACCUAGGACUUAUAAUUUCGACUGUGUGUAUGUGCGUGUGUGUUUGUGUGUGUGUUUACAGAAUCUCUGGUAGCUCCAGUGAGAACAGAGUGAGCCUCACCCUUUCCUCAUGACUAAGUCCAGAGAAUGUGAGGUGAAGGAGUUCUGUGACUUUUUAACUUUAGUAUUCCACUCACUGUCCACAAGGCUUGGGUUACACUGUCUGCAUCACUGAUUACAGUAACAGUGUGUGUGUGUGUGUAUACACACAAACAACCAUAUUGCCACAAAUGCAUACUAGAAAGCAGGGCCUUACCUUCUCUGAACUGUUACAAUGCCUAGCCCAGAGUACUCUGGUAAUAGUGACUUCAUGGAGUUUUGUACACACACCCAGGUGAGAAAGGAUAUAAGCUAAGCUACUCAUCCACACCUCAUGAAACCUAUGGGAGCUAGUCCUGACUCAUGGUUCAUUUAUGAAUACAGAAGCCCCAAUUAAUUAAAUUAACUUGGUCUCCCAAUCCAUGAUCUUGAGUUUUAAUUGAUAAGUAUAAAAUAGACACACUUGAAAAUUUUUGCAUUCACAUCACACCACCAGUACAUGGCCUUUUCCAUUAAUGUCCACAUUGACCAACCUUUCAUACUAUGUGUGCUUCUUACAAGAAAUUAAAAGCAGAGCCUGCCCCUUUGUUACGCAGCACAGAAGCUUUACUGUAUAGUUUCAGAGUCUCUGGUAUCUCCAGUAGGAACAGAGUGGGCCUCACCCUUUCCUCAUGACUAAGUCCAGAUAAUUUGAGGUGAAAGUUUGAUGACUUUUUAACUUUAGUAUUCCACUCAUUGUUCACAAAUGCUUAGGUUACACUGCCUGCCUCACUAAUUAAAAGUGAGGUAACCUGGUAUAAGCUGUGCCCAACCCAAUAUUCGAGAACAUUUAGUGAGCAUUUUAAAAUCAGGCUGUAUUACUAAACAUCCCCAGCUUCCAAAGUUCAGAAGUGUGGUGGGCCUAAUCAUUUUCC
RNAcentral lists this long non-coding RNA (2939 nucleotides) under Macaca fascicularis (crab-eating macaque). Its description in RNAcentral is "lncRNA (ENSMFAG00000052393.1)". Lineage: Eukaryota; Metazoa; Chordata; Mammalia; Primates; Cercopithecidae. The record is from RNAcentral.